CCAGCAGCCGCGGUAAUUCCAGCUCCAAUAGCGUAUAUUAAAGUUGUUGCGGUUAAAAAGCUCGUAGUUGGAUCUGUGUCUUACGAUGUCGGUUCACCGCUCGCGGUGUUAACUGGCAUGUCCUGUGGGACGUCCUGCCGGUGGCGGUCCGGGCUCCUGGCCAUGUGUAGGUUCGCCGAAGCAUACCUAGAGUUCCGGCCGCCGAUUCAAUCCCGCCGCGGUGCUCUUGACUGAGUGUCGAGGUGGGCCGGCACGUUUACUUUGAACAAAUUAGAGUGCUUAAAGCAGGCUGAUUUCUGCCUGAAUACUGUGUGCAUGGAAUAAUGGAAUAGGACUUCGGUUCU
RNAcentral lists this ribosomal RNA (344 nucleotides) under uncultured eukaryote. RNAcentral's name for it is "SSU rRNA". It matches the Rfam family "Eukaryotic small subunit ribosomal RNA", at positions 567 to 837 of the family's 1831-position model. The record is from RNAcentral.